RNAcentral lists this long non-coding RNA (1017 nucleotides) under Sinocyclocheilus grahami. RNAcentral describes it as "lncRNA (ENSSGRG00000003549.1)". The record is from RNAcentral. Lineage: Eukaryota; Metazoa; Chordata; Actinopteri; Cypriniformes; Cyprinidae.
AGAUACUGCAAAGUGUAAAUUUUGUUUUUUUUGGUCCGUUUGAUCUCAACAGCUGUGUGAAUCUGGCUGACCGUUACGAGACGGUUUUCCACCCUGUUGCCCCUAACAGCGUUCCAUACCCAUCGCAUGUGAAGCACUUUGAAAUCCAGAUGUUUACUUUCGUGCAGAAUGAUGUCGUACUUCAAGAUCAGAUUUUUGUACACUGUGAUGCUAUGCUUUGUGAUGAGAGUGAUGGAAUCUGCAAGAGACACUGUCCAUCUCCCAUGCCUUUAAAAACUGGGAAGAAAGGUAUGCCCACUGUGACUUUAUGUAUUUACUUUAAAAUUGCACAUUCUAAUUACCAGUUGGUCUGUAAUUUUGUUUAUGGCUUUUUUUCCCAUGACAAGUACGAAGAGAGACCACUAAUGUCCAGUCCCAGAGAGUACAGCUGUCAUCAAGAAAAAUAUUGCUCUUAGUCGGUUUUGAUUCUGAGUCUUAAUAAAGUCUCGUUCAACACACCUUUUAUCUUGGCAUGUCCUGCAAUUUGUCAGGUGCUUGUAACUUGCUUUUCAUGAGCUCGAGUACAGGUGAGCAGUCUCUGCGUAAGGUCGCAAUGCUUUUAGUUUGAGAAGUUAAACUCUGGUCCAGUAGAUGGUGUGGCAUUUACACACUUUCUGAUGGCAAUGGUUUUUAUUUUGUGCAGUUCAUCUUUUGUUUUGUUUUUAUUUUAUUUUUUUAGAAACUGGUCUAUGCUACACCUUCAAAAACAGAUUGUACAUUAGUUACCAUCAAACACCAUCCUUUAAUCCACAAGUGAAUGGGAAAACUUUGAAGUUAUCUAUUCCUAUAGUAACAUUGAACAUAGUAACAUUUUGAAUCCUAUCUUUGUAUGUUCUAGACUAUACUUGACAAACUGAAGUAAUCUUGCUGUUAGAUGUCAUGAGGGGAUCUUCUCUGUAAUGUAAUUUCUUGUCACAUGAGUUACAAUACGCCUUGCAUGUUGAUUUAUACUAACUUCGUUUUUAGUAUUUAAGGGGA